Molecule: ribosomal RNA, 2785 nt
Filed under: Salmonella enterica
Lineage: Bacteria; Pseudomonadati; Pseudomonadota; Gammaproteobacteria; Enterobacterales; Enterobacteriaceae
Also listed under: 1 other name
Description: partial 23S ribosomal RNA
Rfam family: Bacterial large subunit ribosomal RNA
Source: RNAcentral
GGGUUGUGAGGUUAAGCGACUAAGCGUACACGGUGGAUGCCCUGGCAGUCAGAGGCGAUGAAGGGCGUGCUAAUCUGCGAUAAGCGCCGGUAAGGUGAUAUGAACCGUUAUAACCGGCGAUACCCGAAUGGGGAAACCCAGUGUGACUCGUCACACUAUCAUUAACUGAAUCCAUAGGUUAAUGAGGCGAACCGGGGGAACUGAAACAUCUAAGUACCCCGAGGAAAAGAAAUCAACCGAGAUUCCCCCAGUAGCGGCGAGCGAACGGGGAGGAGCCCAGAGCCUGAAUCAGCAUGUGUGUUAGUGGAAGCGUCUGGAAAGGCGCGCGAUACAGGGUGACAGCCCCGUACACAAAAGCGCAUGUGCUGUGAGCUCGAUGAGUAGGGCGGGACACGUGGUAUCCUGUCUGAAUAUGGGGGGACCAUCCUCCAAGGCUAAAUACUCCUGACUGACCGAUAGUGAACCAGUACCGUGAGGGAAAGGCGAAAAGAACCCCGGCGAGGGGAGUGAAAAAGAACCUGAAACCGUGUACGUACAAGCAGUGGGAGCACCCUUUGGGUGUGACUGCGUACCUUUUGUAUAAUGGGUCAGCGACUUAUAUUCUGUAGCAAGGUUAACCGAAUAGGGGAGCCGGAGGGAAACCGAGUCUUAAUUGGGCGUUAAGUUGCAGGGUAUAGACCCGAAACCCGGUGAUCUAGCCAUGGGCAGGUUGAAGGUUGGGUAACACUAACUGGAGGACCGAACCGACUAAUGUUGAAAAAUUAGCGGAUGACCUGUGGCUGGGGGUGAAAGGCCAAUCAAACCGGGAGAUAGCUGGUUCUCCCCGAAAGCUAUUUAGGUAGCGCCUCGUGAAUUCAUCUCCGGGGGUAGAGCACUGUUUCGGCUAGGGGGCCAUCCCGGCUUACCAACCCGAUGCAAACUGCGAAUACCGGAGAAUGUUAUCACGGGAGACACACGGCGGGUGCUAACGUCCGUCGUGAAGAGGGAAACAACCCAGACCGCCAGCUAAGGUCCCAAAGUCAUGGUUAAGUGGGAAACGAUGUGGGAAGGCCCAGACAGCCAGGAUGUUGGCUUAGAAGCAGCCAUCAUUUAAAGAAAGCGUAAUAGCUCACUGGUCGAGUCGGCCUGCGCGGAAGAUGUAACGGGGCUAAACCAUGCACCGAAGCUGCGGCAGCGACACUGUGUGUUGUUGGGUAGGGGAGCGUUCUGUAAGCCUGUGAAGGUGUGUCGUGAGGCAUGCUGGAGGUAUCAGAAGUGCGAAUGCUGACAUAAGUAACGAUAAAGCGGGUGAAAAGCCCGCUCGCCGGAAGACCAAGGGUUCCUGUCCAACGUUAAUCGGGGCAGGGUGAGUCGACCCCUAAGGCGAGGCCGAAAGGCGUAGUCGAUGGGAAACGGGUUAAUAUUCCCGUACUUGGUGUUACUGCGAAGGGGGGACGGAGAAGGCUAUGUUGGCCGGGCGACGGUUGUCCCGGUUUAAGCGUGUAGGUGUGUGUUCCAGGUAAAUCCGGUUCACUUUAACACUGAGGCGUGACGACGAGGCACUACGGUGCUGAAGCAACAAAUGCCCUGCUUCCAGGAAAAGCCUCUAAGCAUCAGGUAACAUCAAAUCGUACCCCAAACCGACACAGGUGGUCAGGUAGAGAAUACCAAGGCGCUUGAGAGAACUCGGGUGAAGGAACUAGGCAAAAUGGUGCCGUAACUUCGGGAGAAGGCACGCUGACACGUAGGUGAAGUGAUUUACUCAUGGAGCUGAAGUCAGUCGAAGAUACCAGCUGGCUGCAACUGUUUAUUAAAAACACAGCACUGUGCAAACACGAAAGUGGACGUAUACGGUGUGACGCCUGCCCGGUGCCGGAAGGUUAAUUGAUGGGGUCAGCGCAAGCGAAGCUCCUGAUCGAAGCCCCGGUAAACGGCGGCCGUAACUAUAACGGUCCUAAGGUAGCGAAAUUCCUUGUCGGGUAAGUUCCGACCUGCACGAAUGGCGUAAUGAUGGCCAGGCUGUCUCCACCCGAGACUCAGUGAAAUUGAACUCGCUGUGAAGAUGCAGUGUACCCGCGGCAAGACGGAAAGACCCCGUGAACCUUUACUAUAGCUUGACACUGAACAUUGAGCCUUGAUGUGUAGGAUAGGUGGGAGGCUUUGAAGUGUGGACGCCAGUCUGCAUGGAGCCGACCUUGAAAUACCACCCUUUAAUGUUUGAUGUUCUAACGUGGACCCGUUACCCGGGUUGCGGACAGUGUCUGGUGGGUAGUUUGACUGGGGCGGUCUCCUCCUAAAGAGUAACGGAGGAGCACGAAGGUUGGCUAAUCCUGGUCGGACAUCAGGAGGUUAGUGCAAUGGCAUAAGCCAGCUUGACUGCGAGCGUGACGGCGCGAGCAGGUGCGAAAGCAGGUCAUAGUGAUCCGGUGGUUCUGAAUGGAAGGGCCAUCGCUCAACGGAUAAAAGGUACUCCGGGGAUAACAGGCUGAUACCGCCCAAGAGUUCAUAUCGACGGCGGUGUUUGGCACCUCGAUGUCGGCUCAUCACAUCCUGGGGCUGAAGUAGGUCCCAAGGGUAUGGCUGUUCGCCAUUUAAAGUGGUACGCGAGCUGGGUUUAGAACGUCGUGAGACAGUUCGGUCCCUAUCUGCCGUGGGCGCUGGAGAACUGAGGGGGGCUGCUCCUAGUACGAGAGGACCGGAGUGGACGCAUCACUGGUGUUCGGGUUGUCAUGCCAAUGGCACUGCCCGGUAGCUAAAUGCGGAAGAGAUAAGUGCUGAAAGCAUCUAAGCACGAAACUUGCCCCGA